GUAACCGCGGUGCGAGCGGCGGCGGUAUGACGGUGGGUACAUGCGUUGUCCGUAAUCAGUAGGUUUAAAGGGUCCGGAGGCGGUGAAAUAAGUGAGUGGUGAAAUCCGGCAGCUCAACUGUGGCACGGGCAUUGAUACUGUGUAACUUGAAUUAGUGUGAAGUAACUAGAAUAUGUAGUGUAGCGGUGAAAUGCUGAUAGAUUACAGGGAAUACCAAUUGCGAAGGCAGGUUACUAACAAUACAUUGACGCUGAUGGACGAAAGCGUGGGGAGCGAACAGGAUUAGAUACCCUGGUAGUC
This 300-nucleotide ribosomal RNA is filed under the name uncultured Halobellus sp. RNAcentral describes it as "bacterial SSU rRNA". It matches the Rfam family "Bacterial small subunit ribosomal RNA", at positions 496 to 795 of the family's 1533-position model. Lineage: Archaea; Methanobacteriati; Methanobacteriota; Halobacteria; Halobacteriales; Haloferacaceae. The record is from RNAcentral.